This 74-nucleotide transfer RNA is filed under the name Ablepharus sikimmensis. Its description in RNAcentral is "tRNA-Asn". The record is from RNAcentral. Lineage: Eukaryota; Metazoa; Chordata; Lepidosauria; Squamata; Scincidae.
CGGACAGAAGCCCGCUGGAUUAAGGUGUUUAGCUGUUAACUAAACGUUUACGGGAUCGAGGCCCGUCUGUCUAG